CGAACGAAGCACCUGAGAAUGAUUCUUCGGAUGAAGUCUCUUGUGACUGAGUGGCGGACGGGUGAGUAACGCGUGGGUAACCUGCCUCACACAGGGGGAUAACAGUUGGAAACGACCGCUAAUACCGCAUAACCCGCUGGUGCCGCAUGGCACUGACGGAAAAGAUUUUAUCGGUGUGAGAUGGACCCGCGUCUGAUUAGCCAGUUGGCAGGGUAACGGCCUACCAAAGCGACGAUCAGUAGCCGGCCUGAGAGGGUGAACGGCCACAUUGGGACUGAGACACGGCCCAGACUCCUGCGGGAGGCAGCAGUGGGGAAUAUUGCACAAUGGGGGAAACCCUGAUGCAGCGACGCCGCGUGAGUGAAGAAGUAUUUCGGUAUGUAAAGCUCUAUCAGCAGGGAAGAAAAUGACGGUACCUGACUAAGGAGCCCCGGCUAACUACGUGCCAGCAGCCGCGGUAAUACGUAGGGGGCAAGCGUUAUCCGGAUUUACUGGGUGUAAAGGGAGCGUAGACGGUGAUGCAAGUCAGAAGUGAAAGCCCGGGGCUCAACUCCGGGACUGCUUUUGAAACUGUGUGACUGGAGUGCAGGAGAGGUAAGCCGAAUUCCUGGUGUAGCGGUGAAAUGCGUAGAUUUCUGGAAAAACACCAAUAACAAAAACAGCUUACUAAACUAUAACUAACAUUAAAGCUCAAAAGCGUGGGAACCCUUUUUAGGGAGANACCAAGGAAGUACAAAAAGNNAAGGGCUUUGAUUGGNGNNNGAAAGCAAAGCUCUUCGGUGCCGCAGCAAACGCAUUAAAUAUUCCACCUGGGGAGUACGUUCGCAAGAAUGAAACUCAAAGGAAUUGACGGGGACCCGCACAAGCGGUGGAGCAUGUGGUUUAAUUCGAAGCAACGCGAAGAACCUUACCAGGUCUUGACAUCCCUCUGACCGGGAUUUAACCGUCCCUUUCCUUCGGGACAGAGGAGACAGGUGGUGCAUGGUUGUCGUCAGCUCGUGUCGUGAGAUGUUGGGUUAAGUCCCGCAACGAGCGCAACCCUUACCUUCAGUAGCCAGCGGUUCGGCCGGGCACUCUGGAGGGACUGCCAGGGACAACCUGGAGGAAGGUGGGGAUGACGUCAAAUCAUCAUGCCCCUUAUGAUCUGGGCUACACACGUGCUACAAUGGCGUAAACAAAGGGAAGCGAGACAGUGAUGGCAAGCAAAUCUCAGAAAUAACGUCUCAGUUCGGAUUGCAGUCUGCAACUCGACUGCAUGAAGCUGGAAUCGCUAGUAAU
This 1278-nucleotide ribosomal RNA is filed under the name uncultured bacterium. RNAcentral's name for it is "bacterial SSU rRNA". It matches the Rfam family "Bacterial small subunit ribosomal RNA", at positions 63 to 1342 of the family's 1533-position model. The record is from RNAcentral.